RNAcentral lists this ribosomal RNA (924 nucleotides) under uncultured Bacteroidota bacterium. RNAcentral's name for it is "bacterial SSU rRNA". It matches the Rfam family "Bacterial small subunit ribosomal RNA", at positions 1 to 916 of the family's 1533-position model. The record is from RNAcentral. Lineage: Bacteria; Pseudomonadati; Bacteroidota.
GGAUCCAGACUUUGAUUCUGGCUCACGAUGAACGCUAGCUACAGGCUUAACACAUGCAAGUCGAGGGGAAACGACAUCGAAAGCUUGCUUUUGAUGGGCGUCGACCGGCGCACGGGUGAGUAACGCGUAUCCAACCUGCCCACCACUUGGGGAUAACCUUGCGAAAGUAAGACUAAUACCCAAUGACGUCUCUAGAAGACAUCUGAAGGAGAUUAAAGAUUUAUCGGUGAUGGAUGGGGAUGCGUCUGAUUAGCUUGUUGGCGGGGUAACGGCCCACCAAGGCGACGAUCAGUAGGGGUUCUGAGAGGAAGGUCCCCCACAUUGGAACUGAGACACGGUCCAAACUCCUACGGGAGGCAGCAGUGAGGAAUAUUGGUCAAUGGGCGAGAGCCUGAACCAGCCAAGUAGCGUGCAGGAUGACGGCCCUAUGGGUUGUAAACUGCUUUUAUAAGGGAAUAAAGUGAGUCUCGUGAGACUUUUUGCAUGUACCUUAUGAAUAAGGACCGGCUAAUUCCGUGCCAGCAGCCGCGGUAAUACGGAAGGUCCGGGCGUUAUCCGGAUUUAUUGGGUUUAAAGGGAGCGUAGGCCGGAGAUUAAGCGUGUUGUGAAAUGUAGAUGCUCAACAUCUGCACUGCAGCGCGAACUGGUUUCCUUGAGUACGCACAAAGUGGGCGGAAUUCGUGGUGUAGCGGUGAAAUGCUUAGAUAUCACGAAGAACUCCGAUUGCGAAGGCAGCUCACUGGAGCGCAACUGACGCUGAAGCUCGAAAGUGCGGGUAUCGAACAGGAUUAGAUACCCUGGUAGUCCGCACGGUAAACGAUGGAUGCCCGCUGUUGGUCUGAAUAGGUCAGCGGCCAAGCGAAAGCAUUAAGCAUCCCACCUGGGGAGUACGCCGGCAACGGUGCAACUCAAAGGAAUUGACGG